Molecule: ribosomal RNA, 109 nt
Filed under: Castor canadensis (American beaver)
Lineage: Eukaryota; Metazoa; Chordata; Mammalia; Rodentia; Castoridae
Source: RNAcentral
GUCUAAGGCCAGAUCACCCUUAACACGCCCCAUCUCAUCUGAUCUCACAAGCUAAACAGGGUCAGGCCUGGUUAGUACAUGGAUGGGAGAAAGACCUUCGGAGGAGACU